This is a long non-coding RNA of Cyprinus carpio carpio, 2527 nucleotides long. Lineage: Eukaryota; Metazoa; Chordata; Actinopteri; Cypriniformes; Cyprinidae. The record is from Ensembl.
UCCACACCACUCCAGUCCAUCAGUUAAUGUCUUGAGAAGUGAAAAGCUGCAUGCUUGUACGAAACAAAUACAUCAAGAUAUUUUUUAACUAAAAAUGAGUCCUCUAUCCAUAACACUGCUUUCUCCAGUGAAAAAGUCAUCUUAUCUGAAUCAGGAGAGAAAUAUGCACAGAACCAAGAACCAUUUACAAGCCAAAACAAUUUGUAUCUGUUAUGUUGGACGAUUUGAUGUGAGAGGACAAGAGGGGAUGGAUUUUUUCACUGGAGGAAGUGUUAUUAUGGAUUAUGGAUUUAUGGACUAUUUUGGCCAGAAGCAACGAUUACAUCUUAAUGAUGGUAUUGUUUUCAUACAAACACACAGCUUUUCACUUAACAAGACAUUAACUGAUGGACUGGAGUGGUGUGGAUUACUUGUGAUGUUUUUAUCAGCUGUUUGGACUCUCAUUCUGACGGCACCCAUUCACUGCAGAGGAUCUAUUGGUGAACAAGUGCAGUAUUUCUCCAAAUCUGUCCCAGCAAAGAAACAAACUCAUUUACAUCUUGGAUGCCCUGAGGCAGCUGAUUUGAUCAGAUUGUCCUUCAUUCACAGUGAUACUAGAUGGGCUCUGAAUCACAGUCAGCUCCUCGUAUGAACCUUGGCAGCUUUAUUUUUUCAGAAGAUGUUUAGGGUGAAUGUGGCUCUUACCUCUGAAGCAAAUGCAGGACAAAAUGAGGCCACAGAUCAGAGGGCAGGAGAACUUCAUUUCGAAGCGUUUAAUCACAAAUCCAAACUAAGGUAACAUAAGCGCUGUCACACUCGCUCACAUUAAAACACACCAUCGGUCAUGACUUCCUCGAGUGUCAGUGUGCCCAAAGGUUCAUCUCAUGCGAUCUCCCCCCUCUCUUUCACUUCUGUCUUCUUGUCAGUGUGAAGUUUUAACCAACAACACCUUUCAUAGUUCUCAGUAUUCUCAAAACAGAUCUAACUUCACCUUAUACUUACAAUGAAUUUCUGUGUAACUCGAUACAUGACUGGUUUGGUUUGAUUUUAACUUUUAUUUUUCUAAAAUAAAAGUUCAAGAUUUAACAAAAUCAUAAACUAUAUUUUAUAACUGUUAUAUUUUAGAAUUAUCGUCUCAUUCUGAUGUUGACGGAAUUUAUUUUGCAGUACUUUAGAAUGCAAUUCAACGCAAUGCAAAAUCAGCAUGACACAAUAAAUGGAUGCAAAGGUAGUUUGCAAAUGCAAUAAUGACAUUUUAGUGUCCACUGUAAAGUUCAGCAUAUCAAUUUAUCUAACUGACAUUCUUAACGCUGACCUUCAGAAUGGCUCUUAAACCUCUAAAUGCAUGCUGGGCACUUCAUUAAAGACAUUAUGCUCUCCUGCCCGCAGUCUUUGCGUGUUAAUGAGGUCUUUGGGCCCUUCAGCACCGCUGUUUGCUCUGAUGCAUCUGUGAUGCACAAUGAUUGUUUUCCGCUGCUGGUUUGACCACUGCUGUAUUGUUUAAAUAGAACAGCAGAUACAAUGAUAACCUAAAUGCAAGCUAGUCAAUAUCCACUGAGAUAGAGAUACAGUGAACAAUUAUAGCUACAAGAAAUUCAGCAUAUUCAAGACAUGACUGUAUUACAACUUUACACAUUUGUGCAUGUAUAGAAAUUAAUUCCAAUACAUUUUCCUCAAACUGACACUUAUUCCACAAGACCUUUCAGAUCAGAGCUCAUUAUGAGCUCUAAAUUAUUUGAAAGAUUAUACAUCAUCUUCAUCCGUUUCACACCACAGGGAAUCUUCUCACAAGGUACUUUGCCAGGAAGUGGUCAAGACAACAUCUUGAUAAACAGGAAGUCCUUCAAAGACUGGGCUUCCUGCAAGAAGAUGGCAACAGCAUCCUGACAUGAAAUCAUCAAUGCAGCACCACACAGCGGUUUACCUUUAGAUUUCUGACAGAAACGAGAGCAGGAGAAGACGAUGAUCUCAUCUUCAAGUCAAGAGCCUUCAUAUAGCCGUAUGCACCUGCUCUUACACUGUCUCCUAGCAACCAGAGCGCCAGAGACAGAGAUUGAUUCUUCAGCCGCUUUAUGAGUAUUGUGUGUCUGAUCAUGGCGGUUAAAUGUUGGCUAAUUGAAUUGUGUUUUUUUUUUUUUUUUGCUGAGCACUUUCAAGGCUGACGCCAGGUUUGAGCUCACAUCUCACAGCUCGAGUGCUCCCAAAAUCAUCCUCACAGGCAUUGUAGCCAAGACUGUUUAAUUCAAUUCACUUCCAUUCUGAGAUUCUAGUAACAGAGAUUAACAUAAUAUUUAUAAACAUACAAUGACCAAGCUAAAUGUAAUUAUAAAGCACAUAUGAAUGAAGCAAAACAUAGACAUUCAUGUUCUUGAAUAUGAAAUCAAACUAGACCCUACUGACUUGGUAUUAUUGUAUACAAUUCAUUAUUUUUUCAUUGUAAAGAAAAAAAAUGUUUGUUUUCAUAGUCUUUUCCCAAAAUUACACCAAGAAAUAAAUCUCAAUAUGUCUCCAUUAAUUUCUAGUCUUUAAAAUCAAUAUGAAAUCCAAA